GACGAACGCUGGCGGCGUGCUUAACACAUGCAAGUCGAACGGAAAGGCCCUGCUUUUGUGGGGUGCUCGAGUGGCGAACGGGUGAGUAACACGUGAGUAACCUGCCCUUGACUUUGGGAUAACUUCAGGAAACUGGGGCUAAUACCGGAUAGGAGCUCCUGCUGCAUGGUGGGGGUUGGAAAGUUUCGGCGGUUGGGGAUGGACUCGCGGCUUAUCAGCUUGUUGGUGGGGUAGUGGCUUACCAGGGCUUUGACGGGUAGCCGGCCUGAGAGGGUGACCGGCCACAUUGGGACUGAGAUACGGCCCAGACUCCUACGGGAGGCAGCAGUGGGGAAUAUUGCACAAUGGGCGGAAGCCUGAUGCAGCAACGCCGCGUGCGGGAUGACGGCCUUCGGGUUGUAAACCGCUUUCGCCUGUGACGAAGCGUGAGUGACGGUAAUGGGUAAAGAAGCACCGGCUAACUACG
RNAcentral lists this ribosomal RNA (466 nucleotides) under uncultured bacterium. RNAcentral describes it as "partial 16S ribosomal RNA". It matches the Rfam family "Bacterial small subunit ribosomal RNA", at positions 28 to 505 of the family's 1533-position model. The record is from RNAcentral.